AUUAACGCUGGCGGCGUGCCUUAGGCAUGCAAGUCGAGCGGACCCCGCAAGGGGUCAGCGGCAGACGGGUGAGUAAUAGUAAGGAAUCUACUUCAAAGUGGAGGACAUCUCGUCGAAAGACGGGGUAAUCCUGCAUGUGAUCGCAAGAUGAAAGAGCUUAACUGCUCGCUUUGAGAGGAGCCUUACUCCUAUCAGCUAGUUGGUGGGGUAACGGCCUACCAAGGCUAUGACGGGUAACUGGUGUGAGAGCACGACCAGUCACAAUGGCACUGAGAUACGGGCCAUACACCUACGGGUGGCAGCAACCGGGAAUUGUCGACAAUGGACGAAAGUCUGAUCGCGCGACGCCGCGUGAGGGAUGAAGUAUUUCGGUAUGUAAACCUCUUUUGAUCCCGAAUCGAUCGGGAUAGAAUAAGCGCCUACUAACUACGU
This 432-nucleotide ribosomal RNA is filed under the name uncultured bacterium. Its description in RNAcentral is "bacterial SSU rRNA". It matches the Rfam family "Bacterial small subunit ribosomal RNA", at positions 29 to 506 of the family's 1533-position model. The record is from RNAcentral.